Molecule: ribosomal RNA, 253 nt
Filed under: uncultured bacterium
Lineage: Bacteria
Description: partial 16S ribosomal RNA
Rfam family: Bacterial small subunit ribosomal RNA
Source: RNAcentral
UACGUAGGGUGCAAGCGUUAAUCGGAAUUACUGGGCGUAAGGCGUGCGCAGGCGGCUUUGCAAGACAGAUGUGAAAUCCCCGGGCUCAACCUGGGAACUGCAUUUGUGACUGCAAGGCUAGAGUGCGGCAGAGGGGGAUGGAAUUCCGCGUGUAGCAGUGAAAUGCGUAGAUAUGCGGAGGAACACCGAUGGCGAAGGCAAUCCCCUGGGCCUGCACUGACGCUCAUGCACGAAAGCGUGGGGAGCAAACAGG